Molecule: ribosomal RNA, 392 nt
Filed under: uncultured bacterium
Lineage: Bacteria
Description: partial 16S ribosomal RNA
Rfam family: Bacterial small subunit ribosomal RNA
Source: RNAcentral
AUACGGAGGAUCCGAGCGUUAUCCGGAUUUAUUGGGUUUAAAGGGUGCGCAGGCGGCCAUUUAAGUCAGCGGUUAAAUCGUGGGGCUCAACCCCAUUCUGCCGUUGAUACUGGGUGGCUUGAUUGUGGUCGAGGUUGGCGGAAUUCGUUGUGUAUCGGUGAAAUGCAUAGAUAUGACGAAGAACACCGAUUGCGUAGGCAGCUGACCAGACCGCAAAUGACGCUCAUGCACGAAAGUGCGGGGAUCGAACAGGAUUAGAUACCCUGGUAGUCCGCACAGUAAACGAUGAAUACUUGUUUUCGGCGAUAUAAUGUCGGAGGCAAAGCGAAAGCGAUAAGUAUUCCACCUGGGGAGUACGCCGGCAACGGUGAAACUCAAAUGAAUUGACGGGG